GAUGAAGAACGUAGCGAAAUGCGAUAAGUAGUGUGAAUUGCAGAAUUCCGUGAAUCAUCGAAUCUUUGAACGCACAUUGCGCCUCCUGGUAGUCCGGGAGGCAUGCCUGUUCGAGCGUCACCAAAUCCGACUCAAGCGGUUUUGCGCUUGGUCGUGGCGGAAGAGUCGGUCUGGUUGCCGUCUCCCCUCCGAAAAUCAACGGCGGAAAGUCACUGGCAGUCAGCGUAGUAGUAUCGUUCGCCGAACAUCCAGUGGCAUUCCUGCCGACGUACCCCCACAAUUCUCGUGAUUGACCUCGGAUCAGGUAGGGAUACCCGCUGAACUUAAGCAUAUCAAUAAGCGGAGGA
RNAcentral lists this unclassified non-coding RNA (347 nucleotides) under soil metagenome. RNAcentral's name for it is "partial contains 5.8S ribosomal RNA, internal transcribed spacer 2, and large subunit ribosomal RNA". The stretch from base 1 to 120 matches the Rfam family "5.8S ribosomal RNA", at positions 35 to 154 of the family's 154-position model. The record is from RNAcentral.